This 461-nucleotide ribosomal RNA is filed under the name uncultured beta proteobacterium. Its description in RNAcentral is "bacterial SSU rRNA". It matches the Rfam family "Bacterial small subunit ribosomal RNA", at positions 200 to 642 of the family's 1533-position model. Lineage: Bacteria; Pseudomonadati; Pseudomonadota; Betaproteobacteria. The record is from RNAcentral.
AGGAAAGCAGGGGAUCGCAAGACCUUGCGCUCUUGGAGCGGCCGAUGUCUGAUUAGCUAGUUGGUGAGGUAAAGGCUUACCAAGGCGACGAUCAGUAGCUGGUCUGAGAGGACGACCAGCCACACUGGGACUGAGACACGGCCCAGACUCCUACGGGAGGCAGCAGUGGGGAAUUUUGGACAAUGGGGGAAACCCUGAUCCAGCCAUGCCGCGUGAGUGAAGAAGGCCUUCGGGUUGUAAAGCUCUUUCAGCCGGAACGAAACGGUCACGGCUAAUACCUGUGAUCACUGACGGUACCGGAAGAAGAAGCACCGGCUAACUACGUGCCAGCAGCCGCGGUAAUACGUAGGGUGCAAGCGUUAAUCGGAAUUACUGGGCGUAAAGCGUGCGCAGGCGGUUUUGUAAGUCAGAUGUGACAUCCCCGGGCUUAACCUGCGAACUGCGUUUGAAACUACCAAGCU